This 317-nucleotide unclassified non-coding RNA is filed under the name uncultured fungus. RNAcentral describes it as "partial contains 5.8S ribosomal RNA and internal transcribed spacer 2". The stretch from base 1 to 133 matches the Rfam family "5.8S ribosomal RNA", at positions 22 to 154 of the family's 154-position model. Lineage: Eukaryota; Fungi. The record is from RNAcentral.
UGGCUCUGGCAUCGAUGAAGAACGCAGCGAAAUGCGAUAAGUAAUGUGAAUUGCAGAAUUCAGUGAAUCAUCGAAUCUUUGAACGCACAUUGCGCCCCUUGGUAUUCCGGGGGGCAUGCCUGUUCGAGCGUCAUUAUCACCCCUCAAGCUCAGCUUGGUGUUGGGGCCUGCUGUAAAAGGCAGCCCUUAAAGUCAGUGGCGGUGCUGUCAGGCUCUAAGCGUAGUAACACAUCUCGCUACAGGGUCCUGGUGGUGUCCAGCCAAAACCCCACACUUUUUUAAUGAUUGACCUCGGAUCAGGUAGGGAUACCCGCUGA